RNAcentral lists this ribosomal RNA (250 nucleotides) under uncultured bacterium. Its description in RNAcentral is "partial 16S ribosomal RNA". It matches the Rfam family "Bacterial small subunit ribosomal RNA", at positions 524 to 773 of the family's 1533-position model. The record is from RNAcentral.
UACGGAGGGUGCAAGCGUUAAUCGGAAUCACUGGGCGUAAAGCGCACGUAGGCUGUCUUGCAAGUCAGACGUGAAAGCCCUCGGCUCAACCGGGGAACUGCGUUUGAAACUGCAUGACUUGAGUACAGGAGAGGAUGGCAGAAUUCCGGGUGUAGGGGUGAAAUCCGUAGAUAUCCGGAGGAAUACCAGUGGCGAAGGCGCCCACCUGGCCUGCUACUGACGCUCAUGUUCGAAAGCGUGGGUAGCAAAC